Molecule: long non-coding RNA, 236 nt
Filed under: Capsicum annuum
Lineage: Eukaryota; Viridiplantae; Streptophyta; Magnoliopsida; Solanales; Solanaceae
Description: long non-coding RNA (CANN_LNC013987)
Source: RNAcentral
ACUUAGUGGGGUCUGGGGGGGGUAAGAUGUACGCAGUCCAUACCUCUACCUCUGAUGAAGUAGAAAGGCUGUUUUCGAAAGACCCCCGGCUCAAGUCACGAGAUAUCACACAAACACAUAGGACAGCACAGCAGCAGAUGACAUAACAUAGAUACGGCACCCAUAAGGAAUAUAAAACAGAGAAAAAGCAGGAAUAUAAAGCAGAGGAAAGCACACAGAUUCGUAAUAAACAUGGA